Molecule: long non-coding RNA, 570 nt
Organism: Magnolia sinica
Lineage: Eukaryota; Viridiplantae; Streptophyta; Magnoliopsida; Magnoliales; Magnoliaceae
Exons: 4
Source: RefSeq, a predicted model, not a curated record
CGAAGAUCCUGAGAUUUGAUAUGGGUUACAGGAAUUUGCAGCCCCAAACAAAUCACUGUUCCAAAAUUGAAAGCCUACCUACCGAUUUGCAGCCCCAAACAAAUCACCAAAGAAGAAACUGAUGUAUCGACUCACCAAUCGAAAGUAUCCCUAUGCAGGUGAAGCUUUCUAGAUCUAUCAGUAGCCAGUACCUGACUGCAUUACUCAUGGCCGCUCCUUUGGCUCUGGGAGAUGUGGAAAUUGAGAUAGUAGAUAAAUUAAUUUCUGUUCCUUAUGUUGAGAUGACAUUGAAACUGAUGGAAUGCUUUGGUGUCACUGUGGAGCACAGUGGUAGCUGGGACCGAUUCCUGGUCAAGGGUAGUUAAAAAUACAAGUCCCCUGGAAAUGCGUAUGUUGAAGGCGAUGCAUCAAGUGCAAGUUAUUUCCUAGCAGGCGCGGCAGUCACCGGUGGCACUGUCACAGUUGAAGGUUGUGGCACAAGCAGUUUACAGCAUCAAACCGGCUGUAGUUGCUUCUCGUAAGGAACACAUAAAUCUAGAGCAAUGGCUGAACGAAAAUCUGAGCACAUAC